GCCUCCACCUCUGGAUUGAGCCUCCACCUCUUGACUCUUAUGCUUUCUACCACAGAUAGUCUGAAGCCAUAGAUGACCACAACAGUGAGAAUUUAACAUAUACAUUCUGCUGUGGCCUUAUCAGACUUGAUGAAAUUUUCAGCUACCAAAGCCUAUCAUGGAGCUGCUGACUGAAGUUAGCUUCUGAGAGAGAAGAAGAUAAUUUUCUCUAAGAGUAUAAGCCCUGGACACAGAGAAAUCAAGAUAAAAACAAACUGGAAGCUUCCUCUCUCAUGGUUAGAUCGCAUGAGGCCCUACGAUUACCUGUUAUGUGUAUGUUAUGUAUGCUGGCAUCAAUCAAGAGUCUGUACUCAUCCCACCAUUAACUAUAGGCAUUAAAAAGAAACACA
Long non-coding RNA from Mastomys coucha (southern multimammate mouse), 389 nucleotides. RefSeq lists it as uncharacterized. The record is from RefSeq and is a predicted model, not a curated record. The transcript has 3 exons. NCBI's taxonomy places the organism in Eukaryota, Metazoa, Chordata, Mammalia, Rodentia, Muridae.